GGGGGUAGAUUUAGUACGUAGGCGCCAUGGAUGGCGAAUCGUGCAUGCUACUGGCACGGGCUAAUAGUAUCUAUGAAGAUUUCCACCUCC
Glossina brevipalpis is the source of this 90-nucleotide non-coding RNA. The record is from Rfam. Lineage: Eukaryota; Metazoa; Arthropoda; Insecta; Diptera; Glossinidae.